GACGAACGCUGGCGGCGUGCUUAACACAUGCAAGUCGAACGAAAAUACCAAGCUUGCUUGGUUGAUUAGUGGCGAACGGGUGAGUAACACGUGAGUAACCUGCCCCUUACUUUUCUGGAUAACUGCACGAAAGGGUAGCUGAUACGGGAUAUUAUGCCCAGCCUGCAUGGGUUGGUUUGGUAAGGUUGUUUUUCUGGUAAGGGAUGGGCUCGCGGCCUAUCGGUUUGUUGGUGGGGUGAUGGCCUACCAAGGCUUUGACGGGUAUCCGGCCGGAGGGGGUGGGACGCUAGACCGGGACUGCGGUCCGGCCCAGUCUGGUACGGGAGAGAGGAGUAUGGAAUACUGCAGAAGGGGCGCAAGCCUGAUGCAGCGACGCCGGGUGAGGGAUGAAGGCCUUCGGGUUGUAAACCUCUUUCGUCAGAAAAGAAGGCACUGCUUUUUUGGUUGUGUUGAGGGUACCUGGAUAAGAAGCGCCGGCUAACUACGUG
Molecule: ribosomal RNA, 488 nt
Filed under: uncultured bacterium
Lineage: Bacteria
Description: partial 16S ribosomal RNA
Rfam family: Bacterial small subunit ribosomal RNA
Source: RNAcentral